GUGGGGAAUAUUGGACAAUGGGCGCAAGCCUGAUCCAGCCAUGCCGCGUGAGUGAUGAAGGCCCUAGGGUUGUAAAGCUCUUUCACCGGUGAAGAUAAUGACGGUAACCGGAGAAGAAGCCCCGGCUAACUUCGUGCCAGCAGCCGCGGUAAUACGAAGGGGGCUAGCGUUGUUCGGAAUUACUGGGCGUAAAGCGCACGUAGGCGGGUAUUUAAGUCAGGGGUGAAAUUCCGGAGCUCAACUCCGGAACUGCCUUUGAUACUGGGUACCUAGAGUAUGGAAGAGGGAAGUGGAAUUCCGAGGGUAGAGGUGAAAUUCGUAGAUAUUCGGAGGAACACCAGUGGCGAAGGCGGCUUACUGGUCCAUUACUGACGCUGAGGUGCGAAAGCGUGGGGAGCAAACAGGAUUAGAAACCCUUGUAGUCC
This 425-nucleotide ribosomal RNA is filed under the name uncultured bacterium. RNAcentral's name for it is "bacterial SSU rRNA". It matches the Rfam family "Bacterial small subunit ribosomal RNA", at positions 354 to 796 of the family's 1533-position model. The record is from RNAcentral.